RNAcentral lists this transfer RNA (59 nucleotides) under Dipodomys ordii (Ord's kangaroo rat). It matches the Rfam family "tRNA", at positions 8 to 63 of the family's 71-position model. Rfam says of the family: Transfer RNA (tRNA) molecules are approximately 80 nucleotides in length. Their secondary structure includes four short double-helical elements and three loops (D, anti-codon, and T loops). Further hydrogen bonds mediate the characteristic L-shaped molecular structure. tRNAs have two regions of fundamental functional importance: the anti-codon, which is responsible for specific mRNA codon recognition, and the 3' end, to which the tRNAs corresponding amino acid is attached (by aminoacyl-tRNA synthetases). tRNAs cope with the degeneracy of the genetic code in two manners: having more than one tRNA (with a specific anti-codon) for a particular amino acid; and 'wobble' base-pairing, i.e. permitting non-standard base-pairing at the 3rd anti-codon position. The record is from Rfam by way of RNAcentral. Lineage: Eukaryota; Metazoa; Chordata; Mammalia; Rodentia; Heteromyidae.
UGGCUCAGUGGUAAGAGCACUUGUCUUGCAUGCAUGAGGCCCUGGGUUCGAUUCCUCAG